AGUGAACGCUGGCGGUAGGCCUAACACAUGCAAGUCGAACGGCAGCACAGUAAGAGCUUGCUCUUACGGGUGGCGAGUGGCGGACGGGUGAGGAAUACAUCGGAAUCUACUUUUUCGUGGGGGAUAACGUAGGGAAACUUACGCUAAUACCGCAUACGACCUACGGGUGAAAGCAGGGGAUCUUCGGACCUUGCGCGAUUGAAUGAGCCGAUGUCGGAUUAGCUAGUUGGCGGGGUAAAGGUCCACCAAGGCGACGAUCCGUAGCUGGUCUGAGAGGCUGAUCAGCCACACUGGAACUGAGCCACGGUCCAGACUCCUACGGGAGGCACCAGUCGGGAAUAUUGGACAAUGGGCGCAAGCCUGAUCCAGCCAUACCGCGUGGGUGAAGAAGGCCUUCGGGUUGUAAAGCCCUUUUGUUGGGAAAGAAAAGCAGCAGGUUAAUACCCCGCUGUUCUGACGGUACCCAAAGAAUAAGCACCGGCUAACUUCGUG
Molecule: ribosomal RNA, 492 nt
Filed under: uncultured bacterium
Lineage: Bacteria
Description: partial 16S ribosomal RNA
Rfam family: Bacterial small subunit ribosomal RNA
Source: RNAcentral